GGAGAGAAGGCUGAAUUGGUUCAGCAGCAGACUGUAAAUCUGUGGCCUUUGUGCGAUGGGGGUUCGAGUCCCUCUCUCUCCA
This is a non-coding RNA of Oleiphilus sp. HI0009, 82 nucleotides long. The record is from Rfam. NCBI's taxonomy places the organism in Bacteria, Pseudomonadati, Pseudomonadota, Gammaproteobacteria, Oceanospirillales, Oleiphilaceae.